RNAcentral lists this ribosomal RNA (499 nucleotides) under uncultured bacterium. RNAcentral describes it as "bacterial SSU rRNA". It matches the Rfam family "Bacterial small subunit ribosomal RNA", at positions 28 to 524 of the family's 1533-position model. The record is from RNAcentral.
GAUGAACGCUAGCGGCAGGCUUAAUACAUGCAAGUCGAGGGGCAGCACGGUUAGCAAUAACUGGUGGCGACCGGCGCACGGGUGCGUAACACGUAUACAAUCUACCUUAAACAGGGGGAUAGCCUUUCGAAAGAGAGAUUAAUACCCCGUAAUAAAUUGAACGGCAUCGUUUGAUUUUGAAAGCUCCGGCGGUUUGAGAUGAGUAUGCGUCUGAUUAGCUAGUUGGUGAGGUAACGGCUCACCAAGGCGACGAUCAGUAGGGGAUCUGAGAGGACUAACCCCCACACUGGUACUGAGACACGGACCAGACUCCUACGGGAGGCAGCAGUAAGGAAUAUUGGUCAAUGGAGGCAACUCUGAACCAGCCAUGCCGCGUGCAGGAUGACGCCCUAUGGGUUGUAAACUGCUUUUAUACAAGAGAAAACCCUGGUACGUGUACCAGGUUGAUAGUAUUGUAAGAAUAAGCAUCGGCUAACUUCGUGCCAGCAGCCGCGGUAAU